Molecule: non-coding RNA, 121 nt
Organism: Picea glauca (white spruce)
Lineage: Eukaryota; Viridiplantae; Streptophyta; Pinopsida; Pinales; Pinaceae
Source: Rfam
ACAUGUCUAUAUCAUAGUGUUAAUGCACUUGAACCCAUUAGAACUCCGCAGUUAAGCACGCUUAGGCUAGAGUAAUAUUGGGAUGGGUGACCGCCUGGGAAGUCCUAGUGUUUUACAUGCC